RNAcentral lists this long non-coding RNA (525 nucleotides) under Lathyrus oleraceus (garden pea). Its description in RNAcentral is "Pisum sativum (pea) long non-coding RNA (PSAT_LNC032587)". Lineage: Eukaryota; Viridiplantae; Streptophyta; Magnoliopsida; Fabales; Fabaceae. The record is from RNAcentral.
AAUACACACCUCAUAGACCCCUCGAGGGCUGUCAAGUACCAGAUUAACAGUUGUUCCUUCCACGGAAGGCAUCAGAAUCAGAGGUUCCUGCAACUUAUUCUUUUUUCAAUACCCCUUGGCAAUCAUUAUCCACCUGACCGUUUGAUCUCUUUUUGUUUAUUUUUUCGGUUCAGGCCUUUUUGUAUUGCUUUUUCUUUUUCUUUUCUUUUUUCUUUUCUUUCUUUUUUCUUUUCUUUCUUUUUUCUUUUCGUUCUUUUCGUUUUUCAUAUUUUUUUAGCAGGAUCGACCUCGAUUCCUCUUUUGUUCAUAAUAAACCUCAGUAGUUUACAGGACAACACUCCACAAGUGCACUGAUUCGGACUCAACCUCAGUCUGAGUUGUCUCAACCUGGUCAAACGACUUGCCCCGGAUCCACCAGAUGUCCUUCUUCUGUUUGGGACUUUGCUAUCAUGUCAUCAACAUAGCAUUUGAUUCCACGAUGAGUCAUAUCAUGAAACAAAGUCACUCUGAUACGUGGCACCAGCG